ACGUCUGUUUACUUUCCAGUAGCAGACCUUGAAAACCCUGGAAGAGGGCCAUCAAACCUGCUUCAAAGGACAACCUCUGUAACAGCACCCCAGAACUGGGAGAAAGCUUUGUUAACAGCUGAUCUCAACAUUUUUUUACUACUCUGUCAGAGACUGUCUCUAGUCAUACCUGGAAAAUCAUGGCUGAAAACAGACCUUGCUCUCUGUGAAUGGACAGUUCAGCAUAUCGCCUCUCCUGGGUACGGGGGUGAGAGUCUACCACCUAUGCCUAUGGUCUCUCUGCUUCACAAGUUUUCCUGCUUAGGACCUAUGUGGGGAUGUGUGGAAGGAUGUUGUCUGAAGGGAACCUGUCUUCAGCUGAGAAGACCAUGAAUCCCUGGAGACAAGAGACAGUGAGAUGGUGACAUUGGUUGACUUGCUUUGACUGAAUUUAGGUUUUGAAGGCUGUGUUGGACAGGGAGACUGGCACAAAAUAAACUAGGACAUGAAUUAACA
Molecule: long non-coding RNA, 495 nt
Filed under: Anas platyrhynchos platyrhynchos (common mallard)
Lineage: Eukaryota; Metazoa; Chordata; Aves; Anseriformes; Anatidae
Description: lncRNA (ENSAPLG00000022537.1)
Source: RNAcentral